CUUCCGCAUGGACGAAAGUCUGACGGAGCAACGCCGCGUGAGUGAAGAAGGUUUUCGGAUCGUAAAACUCUGUUGUGAGGGAAGAACAAGUAUCAACUAACUAUUGGUACCUUGACGGUACCUCACCAGAAAGCCACGGCUAACUACGUGCCAGCAGCCGCGGUAAUACGUAGGUGGCAAGCGUUGUCCGGAAUUAUUGGGCGUAAAGCGCGCGCAGGCGGUCCUUUAAGUCUGAUGUGAAAGCCCACGGCUCAACCGUGGAGGGUCAUUGGAAACUGGGGGACUUGAGUGCAGAAGAGGAAAGUGGAAUUCCACGUGUAGCGGUGAAAUGCGUAGAGAUGUGGAGGAACACCAGUGGCGAAGGCGACUUUCUGGUCUGUAACUGACGCUGAGGCGCGAAAGCGUGGGGAGCAAACAGGAUUAGAUACCCUGGUAGUCCACGCCGUAAACGAUGAAGUGCUAAGUGUUAGGGGGUUUCCGCCCCUUAAUGCUGCAGCUAACGCAUUAAGCACUCCGCCUGGGGAGUACGGCCGCAAGGCUGAAACUNAAAUGAAU
Molecule: ribosomal RNA, 555 nt
Filed under: Planococcus sp. F1
Lineage: Bacteria; Bacillati; Bacillota; Bacilli; Caryophanales; Caryophanaceae
Description: bacterial SSU rRNA
Rfam family: Bacterial small subunit ribosomal RNA
Source: RNAcentral